GUUGUCCAAAUAUAAUCUUGUGCACUAUCAAGUAUCAAGAAUGGUAUGUCAAAUAUAAGAAACUUGACUUUUUCUCAGAAAUAUGUCCUCCUUGUGCCAGUUGCAAUGAUUCUGAGUAUAAGUAGUACACAGUUGUAAAAAAUAAACCUCUAAGACUAGUCAUUUUUACAUUCUGCUAAUGGAAUUUUCCCUCAGGUUAUGUUAAAUUGUUGUUCUUUUUCAGUCAUUAUUUAAUCUUUUGGAAUUUAGAAGAUUAGUUCUGAAUUACAAGCCUCCAUCAAAUGCUCAAGAUUUACCCCGAAACCAAAAGGAACAUCGGAAUUUGCCUUUUAUGCGUGAGCUGAGGUAUCUAUUUGCACUUCUUGUUGGUACCAAAAGGAAGUAUGUUGAUCCAUCAAGAGCAGUUGAAAUCCUUAAGGAUGCUUUCAAAUCAAAUGACUCACAGCAGGUAGUUUUGUUGCACUUACUUGUUCAUUAACCAUUUGUAUUUAAUCUGAACAAUAUUAAGCAGCUUUCCCAAGAAUAUGAGACUAUUUGAGAUAUAUGGUUCUGCUUUAUUAAAAAUAACCUGGAACCAUUUAAAACAUUUGGGAGACUUUUAAGAGAAAAGUGAUCUUGAAGGUGUUAAAAUAAAGUUUUAAUUUAUAUUAUGAUUGAAAUGAAAACGAUGGAUAAAAUUAAGAUAAAUACAUAAUUAAACAUCUUCACAAAUGUGUGAUAACAGGAUCAUUAUAGUACACAUGCUUUUGAUAUUCCUGUGUUUGCUGGCAGGGAGUACUUUUCCUUAAUUACCCAGAAAUGGUUUUUGAAAGACAUUAUCUUUGUUAUUGUUGCUU
RNAcentral lists this small RNA (836 nucleotides) under Pongo abelii (Sumatran orangutan). RNAcentral's name for it is "retained intron". The record is from RNAcentral. Lineage: Eukaryota; Metazoa; Chordata; Mammalia; Primates; Hominidae.